GAAGGAAAGAGGGAACAUGCCACUCUUCUGACCUUUUCCUGUCUGAUGACCAGAUGACAGAGGGUGUGCAGGGAACACCAGAAUUUUAAGUUAAGCAGGGGAAUGUCUGAAGUAAGAAGAGCUCCUCCUUGAAGAGACUGCAAAGCCAUUUAAAGGAGGCCAUAUGGAAAAAUGUGGAGCAGAUCAAAGGCUGAGAUUUUAUGGUGACAACAAGGGACAGCAAAUGAAAAAAAGUUGGAGAUCAUGGAAGAAGAAUAAACAGUGUAAAGAAUAUGAAGAAUAUGAAACAAAACCUAACUCUUACAUUAUAAUUUCCGAGACCAAUAUGCUAAACUACAUUCCAUGAAAAAUACCAAAAGAACCAUUUUCUUAUCGUACAUUCUGCUGAAUGAAAAGGAAUGUUCUCUAUGUUCUCUUUUCCCCAUUUUUGACAAAUUCUAGAAAAAGCCACAAUAAUUUUAGACUCCAUUUAUCACAUAAGCGUAUUUAUAAUGAAUAAUCUCAGCUGAUGGCCAGCUGACAGGUAAGGCAUGCAUCUCUUCUCCCCACUCAUUUACUCUCAACCUCAUUUUCCUCUCCUUCUCUUGUUGUGAUGUUGGACAUGCAGGAGAAGUAAUGGGAGGCUGUGGAGGACAUAAGCAGUGCUCCCUGACUUCUGCCCCUAUGGGUUAUGGAUUUAUGUUAAUAAGAAAAAAUUAUGAAGAAGAUCCCACCAGUGGCUUCCAGAAAGAAAUGCAAACUGGUUGAGAUCCUCCCCACAAGGACAGCCAGAUGCUGAGAGCUGUGCAAACAGCUGUGCUCUCUAUCCCUGGAGCUUGGCAAGCCCCAGCUGAACACAGCCCUGAGAAAUCUGAUCCCAUCUCCUGGGUGACCCUGCCUGAAGCAAGAGGUUGGACUGCAAGCCUUCAGAGGUCCCUGCCAGCCAGAAUAACCCAUGAUUUCAGGACACACAUUUUUUAAUGUUUUUUCUAUACCUGUAGAAUAAAUUACACUCAUUCAAAAACUCCAGCUUCCAAGGAAAGCCCAAGUGCUUCCACGAAGAUUUGUACAUGCUCAUGAAUUUAAAAACCAGGACUUUAUUCUGCUGCCCACCUACGGAUAAUGGUGGAGGAACACCAGACAUCUUUCAUGGCCUAGCAACUGAGCUGAAACCUGCCUGUUUUUCCAGGUCCCCACUGUUUUGCCUGCCUGCUUUGUUUUCACUGGAAUUAUGAGGAGAAGCCACACAGAGAUGGGGGCUGUGGAACUCUCAUUUGGAAGCACCCUUCAGUUGUGUUGCUCCAUUCUGCAGCCCUGCCUCCUCCCAUCACCUCUGCAGCCCCACAGAACCAUCACAUCCCCCUGGAUGCUGAGGGGCAAAGCUGCUACCAAAACCUCCUCCUCCUUGCUGUGUGUAUCCACAAUGCCACCACUCCUCCCUAAUCCUGGGGGAAUAUGAGGGUUUGGCCAGGUGCUCUUUCUUGUCCCAGGCAUGAGCAGCAGCCCUGGAAGAUGAGGUUUUCACAACACACAGCUUCUAUUUUUGCCAUCCUGAUAAAAACACAGCAAUGCCAAUAUUUUUUUCUUGUGAUUUGGUGAUUGUGAAUGACCUGCAUGUCAGCUGACACAGUUAAAUAAGAAAUCAGCACUCAAGUCUCUUUGGAAGACAGAAGCACAGACACGGAGCACAAGUAAAAUUAUAAGACAAUCCACAUGAUACUCCAUUAAACAUGAAACAUGUGACUGACUGAAAAACAGAGACAUAUCAGCAUUUUCCCUGAGGAACUUUAUGGUAUUUAGCUCCUAAACAUUAAUUUUAUUGUAUUAUGUGAGGAACCAAUUAACUGAGAGUUUCACUUUUAUCAGACAUGAGAAUUAUUGUUCAGAACAUAGAUGAAUGGUAAAUUCAGCAUAUUUCAGUUUUAUUAGGCUUGACUUGCUCAUCUCUCAUAUUCUGCCAAUUUUAAGAGGUAAUCAGAUAUUUCAUCAAUACAUUUCUGUGAAUUAUUUAGAACACUUCCAGCAGCAACAAGCUGAUAUGUAAGACAUAUAAAAUGUACCUAUUGUAUAUUGAG
Long non-coding RNA from Passer domesticus (house sparrow), 2054 nucleotides. RefSeq lists it as uncharacterized. The transcript has 3 exons. The record is from RefSeq and is a predicted model, not a curated record. NCBI's taxonomy places the organism in Eukaryota, Metazoa, Chordata, Aves, Passeriformes, Passeridae.